Long non-coding RNA from Eurypyga helias (sunbittern), 1857 nucleotides. RefSeq lists it as uncharacterized. NCBI's taxonomy places the organism in Eukaryota, Metazoa, Chordata, Aves, Eurypygiformes, Eurypygidae. The record is from RefSeq and is a predicted model, not a curated record. The transcript has 2 exons.
ACAGUAAUGUGGUGGCUACCUGUUCUUAUUUACAGGUGUCCUUGCUGGUCAUGAUAACCGUGUCAGUUGCUUAGGUGUGACUGAUGAUGGUAUGGCAGUGGCAACAGGAUCAUGGGACAGCUUCCUCAAGAUCUGGAACUGAAAAGAGCAGCGGACUCCAUGACUGGAAGAAGUUUCCAACGGUUGAAAAUUAAAAACGAUAGCAUGUCCAAUCCAACCAUACUAACUUGGACCCCCAUCCUCCCCAACUUCAAAGGGCAAGAUCUUUUCCGUCUCCUGUUGCUGAAAUGAAGAGCACAAUUACCUUUCCAAGAAGAAUUUCUGUGUUGUAAGCAAAAUGAAAUUGUGCAUUCCUUUUGGGACCAUUUUUUUUUUGUCUUGAGAAUUUAAAAAUGAAACACUAUCAUGAAGCAUGACCAGAAAAUAAACUUGAGCAUAAUUGUGAAACAGUUAGCUUUCACUGUAGUUUCCAAGUUGAAGUUAAGGACUUUAUUCUCACACACUUGCAAAUUUUAAAGUCAUGUUUGUAGCAGGAUUUUUUUCAAGUUUCCUUUUUAAAUACAUUUCUUUAUGUAUUUAAUUGAGCAAAACAAGGGAGUCCUAGCCCAGAGCACCUGGGGGUUGUUAACGCUGUAAAUUUAGUCCCUAAUUUUUUUUAUUUUAUUUUCUAGUAUCACAGAUAAUUGUUGCACAAAACUUGGCAUAUAUAGGAUAAUGUUAAGCAGUAAGGUAACCAAGCACAUGCUGUAAAAGGUAAUGAAUGCUUGUUUAAAGAAUCCUUUCACCUUUUAUGGAUAACAAAUGCAAUCCUUGGUCCCUCCUGCCCCCUGCUCCCCCCCUUUCACCACACUGAUUUUUUUUUUAAGUCUUUUGGUUUUGUCCACUUGAAAGGGCAGUUUAUAUAUCCUAACACUAUCCUAUAAGUCUCAACAACCAGGAAUCUCUGUUUUCAAAAGAGACCUAUCCUACACUUGGGUAUUGAGUCAAUUCUUUGUGUAUGAAAUGAUGUACAAAUCAAUGUUUUGAAAAUAAUGAUCUUGAACUUUCUAAGUUAAACAAAAAAAAAACCUUUUUUGAUUGUUUGCCAUAUUGGGUGGGUUUACUCUUAGAAUCGCAUGCUGUAGAAAUGCUAAAAAGUGCAUAUUGGACUAAGUCCUUAGAUGUUUUUUCUUUGAAGAAAUAACCUGUUUAAAAACUGUAACCAUUGUCGCUGUAUUCAUUUAUUGUUGCUACUCUGUGCAUAAAUCUAUGAAGAACUCAAGUACAAAGCUAUGCACGUUUUGGAGUAGCGUGAUAAGUCACUUUUUUUUUUUAAAGAAACAGCCUGUUCAAACAAUCGCUGUCAAAGAUUCUGGGGUGUGGGAGGAGGGAACCUAGACCAUCUUCUUUCUAAAUCAGUUCCUCACAGCCAGUUCCUCUUGUAGGAUGAGUCCUUUGCAUCUGAUCAGAGUCAUUUUUGUAAUGAGCAGGUUUUCCUGGCUUUCUUUUCAAAUAAAAUGUUAAAAGCAGCAGUGUUUGGACAGCAGAUUGUUCUGUUAAACUUUCCUAUCUUCUCACUGUAUCCAGAAAUGCUCCUUCCUAGCAGCAGUAGUAGCUUUUCUCCAUUUUGUUUUUUCUGCAACAUUCUGUAAAAAAAUGUGCUGUAAUUGUGCGUUAGGCCUGGAUUUGGCAUAAAAGAUGAAUUCCCUCUUACUCUCUCUCAUGAACUACUCUGUAGAGCUUUCUCCACACCCUGUAUCCCUCUUCACCUUUUGUAUUUAAUUUUAAAGUCAGUGUACUUCAAGAAAGCUGGAUGCAAGAUAGAUACUAUAUUAAAAUGUAAUGUUAUUUAAGAUGUAAUAAAGCAGUUUGACAUGA